This 29-nucleotide non-coding RNA is filed under the name Rattus norvegicus (Norway rat). The record is from RNAcentral. Lineage: Eukaryota; Metazoa; Chordata; Mammalia; Rodentia; Muridae.
UCCUGCUGUGUGACAGGGAUCUAACCAAC